Molecule: small nucleolar RNA, 137 nt
Organism: Hucho hucho (huchen)
Lineage: Eukaryota; Metazoa; Chordata; Actinopteri; Salmoniformes; Salmonidae
Source: Ensembl
GUGCAGGCCGUUGUCAGCGAGCCUUGGCCUGUAUUGGCUUUUUCCUUUCCUAAAGUGUCUGCUAGAGAGAACUGAGAUGGUUUGAGGCCCUGCUGUUUCUCCUCCAUGUCAAGGUUAUAGGUAAACCUCAGACAACU